This is an RNA transcript of Eriocheir sinensis (Chinese mitten crab), 4298 nucleotides long. RefSeq lists it as uncharacterized. NCBI's taxonomy places the organism in Eukaryota, Metazoa, Arthropoda, Malacostraca, Decapoda, Varunidae. The transcript has 9 exons. The record is from RefSeq and is a predicted model, not a curated record.
AACAGCCAAGAAGUGGGAUGACUUUGAGUAUUGCGAGGAGGAAAACAGCCAAGAAGUGGGAUGACUUUGAGUGUUACAAGGAGGAAAACAGCCAAGAAGUGGGAUGACUUUGAGUAUUACGAGGAGGAAAACAGCCAAGAAGUGGGGUGACUUUGAGUGUUACAAGGAGGAAAACAGCCAAGAAGUGGGAUGACUUUGAGUGUUACAAGGAGGAAAACAGCCAAGAAGUGGGAUGACUUUGAGUAUUACGAGGAGGAAAACAGCCAAGAAGUGGGGUGACUUUGAGUGUUACAAGGAGGAAAACAGCCAAGAAGUGGGAUGACUUUGAGUAUUACAAGGAGGAAAACAGCCAAGAAGUGGGGUGACUUUGAGUAUUACAAGGAGGAAAACAGCCAAGAAGUGGGGUGACUUUGAGUGUUACAAGGAGGAAAACAGCCAAGAAGUGGGAUGACUUUGAGUAUUGCGAGGAGGAAAACAGCCAAGAAGUGGGGUGACUUUGAGUGUUACAAGGAGGAAAACAGCCAAGAAGUGGGACGACUUUGAGUGUUACGAGGACGAGAGCAAGACCAGUGAGGCGGAGGGCUGUGACGGGGCGGACCACCCCAUGCCCGCCCAGCACCUCCAGCUCCCACUCAGAACAGGGAAAAAAAAUGUCCGGAGUGCAAGGGGGAGUUUUCCACGAAGAAGGCCGCCCUGAGCCACCGCUGCCACCAGACCAAGAGGAAGGAGCGUGAGAAAGUGACCUACUCCUGCAAGGGCUGCCUGCGUAGGUUCCUGCUGCGGAGGGAGUACUUGAAGCAUGCCGACGCCUGCUGCAAGAACACUCCCGUCACCUGUAAUCUGUGCCUGGUAAAGUUACCCAGUGCUGCUUACCUGCCUGGCCACCUGGCUGCCCUGAAGCCUCCUCUCAGCAAGGGCAGCACCUUGUGUGAGGCGUGUGGCCGAGGGUUCAGCAGGAAGGAGGCGCUCCAGCGGCACAAGGCGAGAGUCCACGGGAAGGCCCACGGCAGCCACCAGUGUGGCCGCACCUUUCCCCACACCUCCCUGCUGGCCGAGCACCUCAGGCCACACCAGGGAUGCACUUGUCCGGAAUGUUCCAAGGUGUUCAGAUCCAACCUCACGCUGCACCGCCGGGCCCACCACUGCACCGCCUGCAACAAACACUAGAAGUUCCACGCCAGCUACACCUACCACAUGAAGAAGUUCCACGGGAGCAGCGGUGUGGCGGGUGCCGGCCGGUGGUGUGCUCUGCGUCAGCACUCCCUGACCUGCCGCGUCCACCACACUCAGAGCACAGGGCAGGAGGCAGCUUUGGAAGACAUGCAGGGGGUGGCAGGGAGGUCAUGAAGCCACUCCCUGACAGUGCACCAGGUUGUGGCUCCCUGCUCAGCCCUGCCCACCUCAGCAAGAAAGGAACUGACAGCCUUGUCCUGCUGUCAGAGAUGAGGAAGAUUCAAGUGUACCCACCUCCAAACACCUCCCACCAGGCGCCUCCUGCGGUGGAAAUCAUUGUGGAGGUGUUGGAGGACACGGAUGCAGAGUACCAGUACAUCAUCUUGGUGGAGGACGCUGCCGUGGCCCACUUCACCAUGACGGACACUGCUGCCAUAUGGAACACCUCAGGCCGCCAGUAGGCAGACAGUGACAUGGAACGGGUAUAAGAUGGCGAAAGGCAGUAAUGUAUGGGAGAUGAUGAUCCAGGCCGAGAUGCCGUAGAAGUUGAGUUUCGUCGGGUGGGCGGGCAUCAACGAUGGACGUCUGGAAGGAGCUGAUCGUCCACACGGCAAGACUUCACACCAGGAGGAAGGCCAUCCAGGAUGAAGGUGGUCUGCAGGGUGGUCUGACGGCACAGCAGCACCAUCAACUAUCAAUCCUGAGGAGAGAUGCGUCAUUAGCUGGCAGGGCUCGCGGCACGGACAGUGGACAGCCAGUGGGAAUGGCAUUUUUAAAGUGUUUCCUACAACUUGUAGCUGUGUCACCGAUGAGCCCAACACCCUGAAAACGUUUCUUGCUUUAAAAGAUGUAAAUGGUAAUGUCUCAAACAAUAUGGAGGAUGCAGUUAUUUGGGAUGGAGAAAAACUACAUGGAGCCAUACAGUUAUCAUGAAGAGGUCACUAGUGAAGAGAAUGAAGUGCUAAGCUUGGAAGUUCUCAGUGCAACAGCAGAUGAAUUAAAUAAAGCUGUGCAAGGAAUGAGUGAAGGAAAAGCAGGAAGAGGAGAUGGCCUAGUUAAAGAUGCUAGUGAUUUCAUACCUAUUAAAUUUAGUAGAAGUUCUGCAUUGUAAGUAACACAUCAAACCAAUCACAUCAAUACACUUCCCAUUUGGUGCUGUAAAAUUAAGUAAACCUUAAAGACAGUAUUUGAUCAUCUUAAGGAACCCUCCUGGCAGCAGCUGUAGAGGAACUGUGAAUGAGGAGAGCUGAGCCAUGGGGAGCAGUGAGUAUGUGGCUGCCUCUGUAAUUGGCUGACAACCCUCAUCCAUGCUGGCUCCAGUUUCCUAUUAUAUAUAUAAGGGUUAGAGUAGCUUCCUUUGUGCUAGGGGGGUGGACAUUGCUAUGAGGAAGGAAUGAUAACUUUAAUGUGUUGUGUAAGGAUGGGAGGGAGAAAGGAAUGAAAGCUUGUAUCAGAGGUUUGGUGUGGGUGUAACAGUCAUGGAUGUAUAUUGUGGAAUGGUUGAAUGGGUGAAGUGUGGUGCUCUGAGAUGGUUUAACCUCUUGACUGCAGAUUUCCUACAAGAAGACAUCACCAAGCUACAGGAAUGGAACAAAAAGUGGCUGCUACAAUUCAAUGAAGAAAAUGUAAAGUCCUGCACCUUGGGAGGGGAAAUCCAGCAUAUCAAUAUCACAUGGGAAACACUCCACUAUCCACCACAAGGCAGAGAAAGCCAGUGAAGGCGAAAUAUGUGCCAAUUGGGUUAAACAUGUGACAGGCACGAGGGAAGGUGUUAGAGGCGGACCAGCAGAGAAAUGGAUCAAUAGAGUGGACAAGUAUGAGAGAGUUGGUAGAUGAGGGACUAAGUGUGCUGAGAGAUAUAACAGGGAAAGCUGGAGAUGAUACUGUUGUGGCCACCCCCUUGAGGAAAGCUCUCACAGGGGGACAAACACUGUGUCAGAUGCAGAAAAAACAACAACUCAAAUUUAAUAACAAGAAUUUAAGGAGUCUCCAAGAGGCCGCCACCACUGACCCUUGUGCUGAAGCCUUGUGAAUUGGUUUAAAUUUAUGUAAGAUUAAUAGCCUACAUGUGCACUAUGUCUAAACACUUAACAAUGAUUAGGUUCAAGUAUUUGUGCAGUAUCGUGACAUUAGUGAAUCCUACUAUGGUUAAAAUAACACUAAAAUAAACUUCCAUCACUGAGCAAGUUUUAAAGUUAGGAUAAGUGUUUGCAGCCAUGGAUCAGCAAAGGAAGAGAUCGCCUGGCUGCCGCUCGCCUGGUAGUUCCCAAAAGGUCUAUAGUAUUCUUUUUACAGCAUAGGAGGCAGCUGAAGGCAGAACAAUAUGACGAGAAGCAUGCAACUCACCGUCCCGAUAAUGUUAGCAAAGGUGACCGCUGGGAAAUCCGUGAUAUCAUGUGUUAACCAUUGAGGCAGCGACCUAUUACUGGGCAUCCAAUAAUUGUUUGUCAUUGUUCAAACUUUUAUUUUCCUCUUCCAAAAUAUUUCUAUGUGAUGUAUAUAUGCACGAGAAGGGAGGAGAAUGCCUUGACAGGAGGAAGGAAAUAUCUUAAGUCCGUAUUCUCAGUGACAACAAAAACAUUCAUUGGGUGCGCGGUAGAUUAAUCUCAGUAAUUGUCUGUUUUCUUCAUAUCCACACUGCAGAACCCUUGACAGACUACUGCUAUCGGCUCAUAAAACUUCCCAAGGAACUACCCACAGCCUAUACGAAAGCUUUAUCAAAUGUGGAUGUGUGUAAGCCUCGAAACGUUUGAGUACGUGGGCCGAAACGUUUGGGAGGUGUAUUAGCCCUGAAACGUUUUUGCUUAUGGGCCUCAUAGCCUACACUCCUCCAAUGGCUUACGGUCAUUUCUCCCACACGUCAAUUCGCCCACAUGUCAGAGUCAGUUCGCCCACAUGUAAGUCAAUUCGCCCACACGUUUCACGUCACGUCUACAUUGUUGGAGUAGUCAUAUAGUACCAUGUCAUUGGUGUGUAGUUGGAGAGGCCGCCAUCAGGGCAGUGCAGCAGUAGAAGGCUUGUCGGGGCUUUUAUCGAGUGGUAAAUAGAGAAUUAAAAAAAGAAAAGCUAUAUGUAAAUUUAUUAAACCCAUGUGCUGAAUACAAAUAUAUGAUUAAAACCUUUAA